UGGGGAAUUUUGGACAAUGGGGGAAACCCUGAUCCAGCCAUCCCGCGUGUGCGAUGAAGGCCUUCGGGUUGUAAAGCACUUUUGGCAGGAAAGAAACGUCAUGGGUUAAUACCCCGUGAAACUGACGGUACCUGCAGAAUAAGCACCGGCUAACUACGUGCCAGCAGCCGCGGUAAUACGUAGGGUGCAAGCGUUAAUCGGAAUUACUGGGAGUAAAGCGUGCGCAGGCGGUUCGGAAAGAAAGAUGUGAAAUCCCAGAGCUCAACUUUGGAACUGCAUUUUUAACUACCGGGCUAGAGUGUGUCAGAGGGAGGUGGAAUUCCGCGUGUAGCAGUGAAAUGCGUAGAUAUGCGGAGGAACACCGAUGGCGAAGGCAGCCUCCUGGGAUAACACUGACGCUCAUGCACGAAAGCGUGGGGAGCAAACAGG
RNAcentral lists this ribosomal RNA (429 nucleotides) under Acidobacteriota bacterium. Its description in RNAcentral is "Acidobacteria bacterium partial 16S ribosomal RNA". It matches the Rfam family "Bacterial small subunit ribosomal RNA", at positions 355 to 776 of the family's 1533-position model. The record is from RNAcentral. Lineage: Bacteria; Pseudomonadati; Acidobacteriota.